UCAGCCAGCCGAGUCAAGCAAUUCUUAUUCCUUUACAGUUUUACUCAGGUUGAUAGAUUGAUGUUUUACUCAGGUUGAUAGAUUGAUGUUUUACACAGGUUGAUGUUUUACUCAGGUUGAUAGAUUGAUGUUGUACUCAGGUUGAUGUUUUACUCAGGUUGAUGUUUUACGCAGGUUGAUGUUUUACUCAGGUUGAUAGAUUGAUGUUGUACUCAGGUUGAUGUUUUACUCAGGUUGAUGUUUUACUCAGGUUGAUAGAUUGAUGUUUUACACAGGUUAAUGUUUUACUCAGGUUGAUAGAUUGAUGUUUUACACAGGUUGAUGUUUUACACAGGUUGAUGUUUUACUCAGGUUGAUGUUUUACUCAGGUUGAUGUUUUACUCAGGUUGAUAGAUUGAUGUUUUACACAGGUUAAUGUUUUACUCAGGUUGAUAGAUUGAUGUUUUACACAGGUUGAUGUUUUACACAGGUUGAUGUUUUACUCAGGUUGAUGUUUUACUCAGGUUGAUGUUUUACUCAGGUUGAUGUUUUACACAGGUUGAUGCUUUACUCGGGUUGAUGCUUUACUCGGGUUGAUGUUUUACUCAGGUUGAUGUUUUACACAGGUUGAUGUUUUACUCAGGUUGAUGUUUUACUCAGGUUGAUGUUUUACUCAGGUUGAUAGAUUGAUGUUUUACACAGGUUGAUGUUUUACUCAGGUUGAUAGAUUGAUGUUUUACACAGGUUGAUGUUUUACACAGAUUGAUGUUUUACACAGGUUGAUGUUUUACACAGGUUGAUGUUUUACUCAGGUUGAUGUUUUACUCAGGUUGAUAGAUUGAUGUUUUACACAGGUUGAUGUUUUACUCAGGUUGAUAGAUUGAUGUUUUACACAGGUUGAUGUUUUACACAGGUUGAUGUUUUACUCAGGUUGAUGUUUUACUCAGGUUGAUGUUUUACUCAGUUUGAUGUUUUACACAGGUUGAUGUUUUACUCAGGUUGAUGUUUUACUCAGGUUGAUGUUUUACACAGGUUGAUGUUUUACACAGGUUGAUGUUUUACUCAGGUUGAUGUUUUACUCAGUUUGAUGUUUUACUCAGGUUGAUGUUUUACUCAGGUUGAUGUUUUA
Long non-coding RNA from Oncorhynchus keta (chum salmon), 1108 nucleotides. RefSeq lists it as uncharacterized. Lineage: Eukaryota; Metazoa; Chordata; Actinopteri; Salmoniformes; Salmonidae. The transcript is spliced from 3 exons. The record is from RefSeq and is a predicted model, not a curated record.